RNAcentral lists this ribosomal RNA (409 nucleotides) under uncultured bacterium. RNAcentral describes it as "bacterial SSU rRNA". It matches the Rfam family "Bacterial small subunit ribosomal RNA", at positions 354 to 777 of the family's 1533-position model. The record is from RNAcentral.
GUGGGGGAUAUUGCGCAAUGGGGGCAACCCUGACGCAGCAACGCCGCGUGAAGGAUGACGGCCUUCGGGUUGUAAACUUCUGUCGCAAGGGAAGAAGAAAGUGACGGUACCUUGUGAGAAAGCCACGGCUAACUACGUGCCAGCAGCCGCGGUAAUACGUAGGUGGCGAGCGUUGUCCGGAUUUACUGGGUGUAAAGGGCGCGUAGGCGGAUUUGCAAGUCAGAUGUGAAAUGCCGGGGCUUAACCCCGGAACUGCAUUUGAAACUGUAGACCUUGAGUGCCGGAGAGGAAAGCGGAAUUCCUAGUGUAGCGGUGAAAUGCGUAGAUAUUAGGAGGAACACCGGUGGCGAAGGCGGCUUUCUGGACGGUAACUGACGCUGAGGCGCGAAAGUGUGGGUAGCAAACAGGA